RNAcentral lists this ribosomal RNA (492 nucleotides) under uncultured bacterium. Its description in RNAcentral is "partial 16S ribosomal RNA". It matches the Rfam family "Bacterial small subunit ribosomal RNA", at positions 29 to 507 of the family's 1533-position model. The record is from RNAcentral.
AGUGAACGCUGGCGGUAUGCCUAACACAUGCAAGUCGAACGGCAGCACAGUAAGAGCUUGCUCUUACGGGUGGCGAGUGGCGGACGGGUGAGGAAUACAUCGGAAUCUACUUUUUCGUGGGGGAUAACGUAGGGAAACUUACGCUAAUACCGCAUACGACCUACGGGUGAAAGCAGGGGAUCUUCUGACCUUGCGCGAUUGAAUGAGCCGAUGUCGGAUUAGCUAGUUGGCGGGGUAAAGGCCCACCAAGGCGACGAUCCGUAGCUGGUCUGAGAGGAUGAUCAGACACACUGGAACUGAGACACGGUCCAGACUCCUACGGGAGGCAGCAGUGGGGAAUAUUGGACAAUGGGCGAAAGCCUGAUACAGCCAUACCGCGUGGGUGAAGAAGGCCUUCGGGUUGUAAAGCCCUUUUGUUGGGAAAGAAAAGCAGCAGGUUAAUACCCCGCUGUUCUGACGGUACCCAAAGAAUAAGCACCGGCUAACUUCGUG